GCCGGUAUAGCUCAGUUGGCUAGAGCAUGCGGUUCAUACCCGCAGUGUCGUUGGUUCAAAUCCGACUACCGGUACCA
Molecule: transfer RNA, 77 nt
Filed under: Oscillospiraceae bacterium
Lineage: Bacteria; Bacillati; Bacillota; Clostridia; Eubacteriales; Oscillospiraceae
Description: tRNA-Met
Rfam family: tRNA
About the family: Transfer RNA (tRNA) molecules are approximately 80 nucleotides in length. Their secondary structure includes four short double-helical elements and three loops (D, anti-codon, and T loops).
Source: RNAcentral